GCUGGAGGUUUGGCGGGAUGGAGACCCACCUCGGGAUGCAGCCAUGAAAAACAAGAGCCCGAUUAUUUCCCUGCCUGUCCUUCCCUCCUAUCCCAUCCUGCCCGCCUGAUUCAAUUAAUAUUCAGCCAAAGGAGGAUGUUGUCUUGUCUUUGCUGUCAGGGCACUGACACCCUGCAUGUGUGAGUGUG
Molecule: long non-coding RNA, 188 nt
Organism: Notolabrus celidotus (New Zealand spotty)
Lineage: Eukaryota; Metazoa; Chordata; Actinopteri; Labriformes; Labridae
Exons: 3
Source: RefSeq, a predicted model, not a curated record